This 1147-nucleotide ribosomal RNA is filed under the name Escherichia coli. RNAcentral's name for it is "partial 23S ribosomal RNA". It matches the Rfam family "Bacterial large subunit ribosomal RNA", at positions 419 to 1569 of the family's 2925-position model. Lineage: Bacteria; Pseudomonadati; Pseudomonadota; Gammaproteobacteria; Enterobacterales; Enterobacteriaceae. The record is from RNAcentral.
GGGACACGUGGUAUCCUGUCUGAAUAUGGGGGGACCAUCCUCCAAGGCUAAAUACUCCUGACUGACCGAUAGUGAACCAGUACCGUGAGGGAAAGGCGAAAAGAACCCCGGCGAGGGGAGUGAAAAAGAACCUGAAACCGUGUACGUACAAGCAGUGGGAGCACGCUUAGGCGUGUGACUGCGUACCUUUUGUAUAAUGGGUCAGCGACUUAUAUUCUGUAGCAAGGUUAACCGAAUAGGGGAGCCGAAGGGAAACCGAGUCUUAACUGGGCGUUAAGUUGCAGGGUAUAGACCCGAAACCCGGUGAUCUAGCCAUGGGCAGGUUGAAGGUUGGGUAACACUAACUGGAGGACCGAACCGACUAAUGUUGAAAAAUUAGCGGAUGACUUGUGGCUGGGGGUGAAAGGCCAAUCAAACCGGGAGAUAGCUGGUUCUCCCCGAAAGCUAUUUAGGUAGCGCCUCGUGAAUUCAUCUCCGGGGGUAGAGCACUGUUUCGGCAAGGGGGUCAUCCCGACUUACCAACCCGAUGCAAACUGCGAAUACCGGAGAAUGUUAUCACGGGAGACACACGGCGGGUGCUAACGUCCGUCGUGAAGAGGGAAACAACCCAGACCGCCAGCUAAGGUCCCAAAGUCAUGGUUAAGUGGGAAACGAUGUGGGAAGGCCCAGACAGCCAGGAUGUUGGCUUAGAAGCAGCCAUCAUUUAAAGAAAGCGUAAUAGCUCACUGGUCGAGUCGGCCUGCGCGGAAGAUGUAACGGGGCUAAACCAUGCACCGAAGCUGCGGCAGCGACGCUGAUGCGUUGUUGGGUAGGGGAGCGUUCUGUAAGCCUGCGAAGGUGUGCUGUGAGGCAUGCUGGAGGUAUCAGAAGUGCGAAUGCUGACAUAAGUAACGAUAAAGCGGGUGAAAAGCCCGCUCGCCGGAAGACCAAGGGUUCCUGUCCAACGUUAAUCGGGGCAGGGUGAGUCGACCCCUAAGGCGAGGCCGAAAGGCGUAGUCGAUGGGAAACAGGUUAAUAUUCCUGUACUUGGUGUUACUGCGAAGGGGGGACGGAGAAGGCUAUGUUGGCCGGGCGACGGUUGUCCCGGUUUAAGCGUGUAGGCUGGUUUUCCAGGCAAAUCCGGAAAAUCAAGGCUGAGGCGUGAUGA